AAAGCGACAAAUGGCGUGCUUAAACAUGCAAGUCGAACGGUGAAGCCAAGCUUGCUUGGUGGAUCAGUGGCGAACGGGUGAGUAUUCGUGAGCAACCUGCCCUGGACUCUGGGAUAAGCGCUGGAAACUGCGUCUAAUACUGCAUAUGAGCUCUCAUCGCAUGGUGGGGGUUGGAAUUAUUUUUUGGUCUGGGAUGGGCUCCCCCCUAUUUCUUGUUGGCGAAGUUUUCGCUCUCCAUGGUUUCGAAGG
Molecule: ribosomal RNA, 249 nt
Filed under: Microbacterium sp.
Lineage: Bacteria; Bacillati; Actinomycetota; Actinomycetes; Micrococcales; Microbacteriaceae
Description: partial 16S ribosomal RNA
Rfam family: Bacterial small subunit ribosomal RNA
Source: RNAcentral